UAAUACGUAGGUGGCAAGCGUUGUCCGGAUUUACUGGGCGUAAAGCGUAUGCAGGCGGAUGAGUAAGUAGGAAGUGAAAGGUUGGAGCUCAACUCUAACACGGCUCCCUAUACUGCUUGUCUUGAGUGCCGGAGAGGACAAGGGAACUUCACGUGUAGCGGUGAAAUGCGUUGAGAUGUGAAGGAACACCAAUGGCGAAAGCACUUGUCUGGACGGAAACUGACGCUGAGAUACGAAAGCCAAGGGAGCGAACAGGAUUAGAUACCCUGGUAGUCUUGGCCAUAAACGAUGUUCACUAGGUGUCGGGGGUUCCCCUCGGUGCCGCAGCUAACGCAUUAAGUGAACCGCCUGGGGACUACGGCCGCAAGGUUG
RNAcentral lists this ribosomal RNA (372 nucleotides) under uncultured bacterium. Its description in RNAcentral is "bacterial SSU rRNA". It matches the Rfam family "Bacterial small subunit ribosomal RNA", at positions 521 to 896 of the family's 1533-position model. The record is from RNAcentral.